CUGCCUACUUAUUGGUAUGAAUAUUAUCGUUACUAUUAUCGCCAUAUUGAUUUUUCCAGCAUUGCUAACUCAAUAAAGAAGCUUAAUGCAGGACCGAAAUGAAGUACUUUUCAGGAUUAAGAGAAGCACACAGUUAAAGAAGCUGAUAAAUGCUUACUGUGAGCGACAAUCGGUUGAUUUCAACUCAAUUGCCUUUCUGUUCGAUGGGCGACGCCUCCGUGCAGAGCAGACUCCUGAUUAGGUCUUCUUUCUCUCAAUUUCCUCCAACCCCUCUCUCUUUCACACCCCCCUCCCCAAAAAGAACCUCCUCCCCCAGCCCCCGGGUCUGUAUCUAAGACAAAUAGCUGAUAUAGGCUAUUCAUCAUUUAUAACAUCUAACCAUCUCAUGAUUACUAGCGACCGAUUCAUUGAGAUUUUAAUGGAUUCUUCUAAAUUCACUAAAAUAUAGGUGUCCUCAAUAGCUUGUGGAUUAUAAAGAUUUCAUUAAUGAAAGGAUUUCAAGAGAUUUGGAUGGAUUUCAAGCUUAGAAGUACACAUAACGAACUCUUUUGAAAUUUCACUAUUUUUAAUGAGAUUAUUGUGAAUUCUGUAAAAAUCGGUUCAAAUUCACAAAAUUCAUCACUAUUUACAAUUUUUUUUUAUUUAAAAUAUAUUAAAAUACUAAUUGAGGAAACCCAACUUAACUUUUGGAAAUUCUUUUAACAGCUUGAAAUGGAGGAUGGGGAUGAGAUAGAUGCUAUGCUGCAUCAGACUGGAGGUGCUGCUGCUGCUUAGUUAGGGUGAUUAAGUCUUUGUUAACGCCUUGGAGGAAGUUGUAAUACAAAAUUUCAUAAUCAUUCUAGCUUGCUGUUACUAUUGACAUGAUUUUGAACGUGUUCCAAGUACUUGAUCUACAACUAUAUUUAAGUUGCUUUGAUUUUCAUUUCCUUCCGAAAAAGUAUGUACUGUUUACUCUCUGAUUCUCGUGGUGAUAUUGGGACAUAAAAAAGAGGGAUGGAGUUUCUUUCUUGUUCCAUGUAAUGGUCUAUAUGGGAGGUUGCACGAAAUGCAAUUAAAAGCCCUUGUUUGAACCACAAUAUUUUCAUGAGUAUGCAUUUUUGAAGAAUGUAUUGAUGGAAAGUGUGUGGUUAAAAAAUAAGAAAAAAUGUUGAAUUUGCGUGUAAUAUUAUUUUAUUAUAGAAUGUGAUAUUGAAAUGAUAUCAAAUCACAAAAACGUAUUUUUUUUUAAAGAA
RNAcentral lists this long non-coding RNA (1232 nucleotides) under Olea europaea subsp. europaea. Lineage: Eukaryota; Viridiplantae; Streptophyta; Magnoliopsida; Lamiales; Oleaceae. The record is from RNAcentral.